This 468-nucleotide ribosomal RNA is filed under the name uncultured bacterium. RNAcentral's name for it is "partial 16S ribosomal RNA". It matches the Rfam family "Bacterial small subunit ribosomal RNA", at positions 28 to 507 of the family's 1533-position model. The record is from RNAcentral.
GACGAACGCUGGCGGCGUGCUUAACACAUGCAAAUCGAACGGAAAGGCCCUGCUUUUGUGGGGUGCUCGAGUGGCGAACGGGUAAGUAACACGUGAGUAACCUGCCCUUGACUUUGGGAUAACUUCAGGAAACUGGGGCUAAUACCGGAUAGGAGCUCCUGCUGCAUGGUGGGGGUUGGAAAGUUUCGGCGGUUGGGGAUGGACUCGCGGCUUAUCAGCUUGUUGGUGGGGUAGUGGCUUACCAAGGCUUUGACGGGUAGCCGGCCUGAGAGGGUGACCGGCCACAUUGGGACUGAGAUACGGCCCAGACUCCUACGGGAGGCAGCAGUGGGGAAUAUUGCACAAUGGGCGGAAGCCUGAUGCAGCAACGCCGCGUGCGGGAUGACGGCCUUCGGGUUGUAAACCGCUUUCGCCUGUGACGAAGCGUGAGUGACGGUAAUGGGUAAAGAAGCACCGGCUAACUACGUG